GGGUGAGAUCAUACCAACAUUAAUGCACUGGAUCCCAACGAAACUCCGUAUUUAAGCAUGCUUGGGCUGGAGUAGUACUGGGAUGGGUGAACUCCCGGGAAGUCCUAGCAUUGCACCCU
Molecule: non-coding RNA, 119 nt
Organism: Picea glauca (white spruce)
Lineage: Eukaryota; Viridiplantae; Streptophyta; Pinopsida; Pinales; Pinaceae
Source: Rfam